Molecule: ribosomal RNA, 492 nt
Filed under: uncultured bacterium
Lineage: Bacteria
Description: partial 16S ribosomal RNA
Rfam family: Bacterial small subunit ribosomal RNA
Source: RNAcentral
AGUGAACGCUGGCGGUAGGCCUAACACAUGCAAGUCGAACGGCAGCACAGUAAGAGCUUGCUCUUACGGGUGGCGAGUGGCGGACGGGUGAGGAAUACGUCGGAAUCUACUUUUUCGUGGGGGAUAACGUAGGGAAACUUACGCUAAUACCGCAUACGACCUACGGGUGAAAGCAGGGGAUCUUCGGACCUUGCGCGAUUGAAUGAGCCGAUGUCGGAUUGGCUAGUUGGCGGGGUAAAGGCCCACCAAGGCGACGAUCCGUAGCUGGUCUGAGAGGAUGAUCGGCCACCCUGGAACUGGGACAGGGUCCUGACUCCUACGGGAGGCAGCAGUGGGGAAUAUUGGACAAUGGGCGCGAGCCUUAUCCAGCCAUACCGCGUGGGUGAAGAAGGCCUUCGGGUUGUAAAGCCCUUUUGUUGGGAAAGAAAAGCAGCAGGUUAAUACCCCGCUGUUCUGACGGUACCCAAAGAAUAAGCACCGGCUAACUUCGUG